This 405-nucleotide ribosomal RNA is filed under the name uncultured bacterium. Its description in RNAcentral is "bacterial SSU rRNA". It matches the Rfam family "Bacterial small subunit ribosomal RNA", at positions 355 to 776 of the family's 1533-position model. The record is from RNAcentral.
UAGGGAAUAUUGGGCAAUGGACGAAAGUCUGACCCAGCAAUACCGCGUGAGUGAUGAAGGCGUUAUGCGUUGUAAAGCUCUUUUACCGGGGAAGAUAAUGACGGUACCCGGAGAAUAAGGACUGACUAACUACGUGCCAGCAGUCGCGGUAAUACGUAGAGUCCUAGCGUUACUCGGAAUUAUUGGGCGUAAAGCAGGUGUAGGCGGACACUUAAGUUACAUGUGAAAUACCUGGGCUUAACCUAGGUGCUGCAUGUAAUACUAUUUGUCUAGAGUGUGAUAGAGGAAGAUGGAAUUUCUAGUGUAGGGGUUAAAUCCGUAGAUAUUAGAAGGAACACCGAAGGCGAAGGCAGUCUUCUGGGUCACAACUGACGCUGAGAUCUGACAGUGUGGGGAGCAAACAGG